CCUACGGGAGGCAGCAGUAGGGAAUCUUUCACAAUGGGCGAAAGCCUGAUGGAGCAACGCCGCGUGCAGGAUGAAGGCCUUCGGGUUGUAAACUGCUUUUAUAAGCGAGAAAUAUGAUGGUAACUUAUGAAUAAGGAUCGGCUAACUACGUGCCAGCAGCCGCGGUCAUACGUAGGAUCCGAGCAUUAUCCGGAGUGACUGGGUGUAAAGAGUUGCGUAGGUGGCAUAAUAAGUAGCUAGUGAAAUCUGGUGGCUCGACCAUUCAGACUAUUAGCUAAACUGUUAAGCUCGAGACCGUUAGGGGUAACUGGAAUUUCUAGUGUAGGAGUGAAAUCCGUAGAUAUUAGAAGGAACACCAAUAGCGUAGGCAGGUUGCUGGGACGGUUCUGACACUAAGGCACGAAAGCGUAGGGAGCAAACGGGAUUAGAUACCCGUGUAGUC
RNAcentral lists this ribosomal RNA (442 nucleotides) under uncultured bacterium. RNAcentral describes it as "partial 16S ribosomal RNA". It matches the Rfam family "Bacterial small subunit ribosomal RNA", at positions 338 to 795 of the family's 1533-position model. The record is from RNAcentral.